UGCCAGCAGCCGCGGUAAUACGGAGGGUGCAAGCGUUAAUCGGAAUUACUGGGCGUAAAGCGUACGUAGGCGGUCAAUUAAGUCGGAUGUGAAAGCCCGGGGCUCAACCCCGGACGUGCAUUUGAAACAGUAAGACUUGAGUACGGGAGAGGAGAGAGGAAUUCCUGGUGUAGAGGUGAAAUCCGUAGAUAUUCGGAGGAACACCAGUGGCGAAGGCGGCUUUCUGGACCGAUACUGACGCUGAGACGCGAAAGCGUGGGGAGCAAACAGGAUUAGAUA
This 279-nucleotide ribosomal RNA is filed under the name uncultured bacterium. Its description in RNAcentral is "partial 16S ribosomal RNA". It matches the Rfam family "Bacterial small subunit ribosomal RNA", at positions 506 to 784 of the family's 1533-position model. The record is from RNAcentral.